Long non-coding RNA from Cavia porcellus (domestic guinea pig), 6788 nucleotides. RefSeq lists it as uncharacterized. The transcript is spliced from 2 exons. Lineage: Eukaryota; Metazoa; Chordata; Mammalia; Rodentia; Caviidae. The record is from RefSeq and is a predicted model, not a curated record.
CUCUCUCUCUCCCCUCUCCCCACCGGAGUGUGGUUGGAGAGUCCCUUGCAUGCAUAGACAAUAAAACCUCUUGAUUUUUCAUGAGAGCUGGCUCCUUGGGGUCUUCAUCACAAUGGUGAUCUUACAUUUGGAGGCCCCAGUGAGAUCUGCCCCCCCCCUCGCUGAGGGCAGCCCCAACGGCCACAAAGUGUCUCUUGGGGUAAGUACAGCCAUUCCUUUUAGUUUCAUUUUUGUGAUCGAUCGUUCAUCUUAACUGCCCCAAAUCACUUCUGACCCGUACCUUGCGAUCCUAAUAUAGGGCAGUUUCUUUGGGGGAUGCCCCAAAAGGAUUCUCUUGGGAGUCCAUUUGUCCCUCAGACUCCCAGUUUUUUAGGAGGGGUCUCUUUGCCCUCUCAUUGGUGGUGGAUUCACCGAUCUCAUGUGAGUGUGACCGGCCAGAACGUGUGGUGUAUUUUGUCUUGUUGGUGUUCUCUGUUGUCUCAGUCUUUGUUCUCGUCUCUUUUGUCAUGGGACAAAGUGUCUCAACCCCUCUUUGUGUUACUCUAGACCGUUGGUCAAAAUAAGGGAACUAUAAUAACCUAAGGCCCCCUAACUAUCAUGCCAUGAAGCCUGUUCUGUAUAAGCCUGCCUGCUGCUUUCCCUCCUUUUCCGCCUUCAAAUCUAACUAGGUUAAGUUUUAACUUCCUAAAAGGCCAUAUAACAAAGGUCUGAGGUAAUAGCUCCUGACAACCCCCUUCUCUACUGGGUAGUCAGUCACAAAUUGUAUUAAUUGCAUUAGAUUGUAAUAGCUUCAUUUGUAUCAUAACAAUACCUGUAAGGAUUGAUAUGUUAAUCAAUGCUCUCCUGUGUAAAGAAUUGUAAAAUCUUACCUAAUUGAUAUGUUAACCAUUGUUGCCCUCUACAAAUAACAGUUGUAAAAGGUGCUAAAGUAAGGUAACCAAGGUUGUUAAUUGCCGUUUCAGCUUUGUAGUGCAUCACACCCCCAUCCCCUUCCUUACAUUGUGUGACCAGCAGCUGUUUGUGGAUUUACAAGAUAAAAGCCCUGACUUUUAGCUGUCAGGUGUGCAGUCUCCAAAUUGGCUCCUGGAGGCUGUGUCACCAGGCCUGGAAAUAAAGGCUUUGCUUCCCUAAUUUUAAUUUCUUGCUUCCUUGAAUUUCAUACCGGGAUCUGAGUUAUCACAUUUGGGGGCUCGGUCUGGGAUGAGAGCAAGACCACAGACUCAUUUCUGAACAUCUGAAAGUAAGUACUCUGGAGGGUUUGUUUGGGCCAUGGUAAAUUUGUAAUUUGGACGGGAUGCCCUCAAUUUGCCAGUGGGAACCCCCCGAGGACAGAGUCAUUUGGUUCUUUUUUGGACAAAUUCCAUCCAUCUGAGACUCUACCCCGGGUGGGGAACCGCUCCAUUAGGAAGGGGACACCUUUAAUUUGGGGAGUGAAACCUCCCGAUGACGGAGUCAAUUGUUUUUGCCAUUUGUGACUCUGCCCUGGGUGGGGAACCGCUCCAUUGGUUAAUUUGUUAAUUCCUCCAGAUCCCAAAAUUUGACUAAUUUUUGAGCAAAGGCCAUUUUGCUGCAGCUUGUCUUGUCUUAUACGUCUGUUUGUAUGUCCAUUUGUUCUAAUUUUUCUCCUUUUGGUUACUCCAAAUCUAACUGAACAUUCUCUCCUAGGAACCCCUUCUACGAGCCCAAAAUGGACUACAGGAUUUAGAUAAUUAUGUUCAGAGUUUUUGUAAUUUAGAAUUGUUUGCCUGUUUAAAUUUGUUGCUAACUUACGGGCGUGUUGCCCAUUUCUGUUGCAGGAUCCAUAUGGCUUAUUAGAUUCAAGGUUCAUAGUAAGAAUUAUUUCCUUUAGCUCACCAAACUAUGCAUGAAGCAACCUUUUGUUUGUGUGUUUAAUAUGUAAGUCUUCACCUUGUUUAAUAUGUAAGUCUUCAAUUGAUUGCUUGCAAGCUCAGCAUGCCUUUUAAAAAGAGUAUUUUUCUUUCUGGUUAAAAUGUAAACAUAUGUGCACAUAUACAUGUAUAUUUAUGGUUUUUAAGAAUCAUAUCAACUUUACCAAGUAAAAACCAGGUAGUACUAUGUUUGAGCCAGUUAAAAGGCUACAGUUUUAAUUUUAAAAAUACAGCAUUAUUUAAAAAAUUAUGUGGUAAAAACACAUAAAAUAAUUAAGUAUGUUUUAGACUACUAAAAGGUGACUUCAAGGGUUUUGUUAAGAGUUUUGAUGUUGUCUGAGAAGCGAGAGGAAAGGUAAUUGACUAGUAAUAGUAAAAAGAGGAGACAAAAUAAAAGUGUUUUGUCUUCAAGUAAAAAUGUCUGGCUGUGCCAGAAUGUGAAAAAAAAAAAAAAAAAGAUAAAAGCUUAGCUUGGGUGGUAUAUUGUAAAUUGUAGAAGGCUCAAAAAGAUGUGAAUUUUAUUUGUCUUGGUUUAUAGUACUACAAAUAACAGGUUUGACCAGAAGAAAAUGUGUUCAGAAUUUGACAGUAUUAGAUCAGUUUUGGUAGAAGUAUUCAUAAGAUUGUACUUUGCUGCAAAAUGUUUCCAUUGAAAUGAGAUUAUAGGUAAUACUAGAGAUAAGAUACAUGUGCUAUAAGUAUCUGCAUUGGUGUAAAUAUCUGGGAGAUUAUGCAGCACAACUUUGUUACCUAUAAAAAAGUCCUUUUUUGUUAAGAAUAUAAUUUCAGUAAAAUGAUGGCCUGCUUCGUGACAUCCUGGGAGAAAAAGAAUAAGCAAUGUGCCAUCCAAAUGAAGCCGGCUCUCUGAUCCAGAGUGCCAAAACCAUGUUCUCCUUUUGUCCGACCCCGAUUGGACAUCCAGAGACCCAGAGUCAAUGAUAUUCAAGACUUCUUCAGCUUUAAACCCAGGCACCCUUAUGCCUGAUGAUGACCUGGAGGAAAAAAAGACACCUCUCCAUGAGUGUGCUGACAUCCUUAAACUGAGCAGAACCUACGGGCUGAUCUUACCAACCAGCUUUUGGGACAACUAUUUUAUCGAUGAAAGCAGCUUCAUCCCGAAUGGCAAAUGAAUGGCCAGGGCUGCAGUGACCACCAAAAAGGAGGUACUCUGGGUUAAGCAGGUAGAACCUGGCACCUCUGCCACAAAGGCGGAGCUUGUUGCUUUGACUGAGAGGCUAAAACUAGCCAUGGGAAGGAGGGUAAACCUUUUUAACUGACAGUAGAUAUGCUUUUGCUACUGUACAUGUACAUGGAGCUGUCUAUCAGAGCAAGGUCUCUUAACCUCAGCUGGGACUAAGAUUAAAAAUGCUCCACAGAUUCUAGACUUGCUGACAGAUGUCUGGUUGCCUCAAGGAGAUGCUAUUACUCAUUAGAAGACUCCCAGACAGGAGAUGACACUGUCACCUUAGGUAACAGUUUGGCAGAUCAAGGCGCUCAAAAAAUAGCAACCACAUCAGAGGGGCCAAUUAAGAAAGUAACUGCUCUGAUGCUAAUCCCUCCAACCUUGUCAGAACCAGUCUACACAAAAAAAGGACCUACAGUUAGCAACUCAACUAGGAGUAAAGUCCCCCAUCCCUGGGGGCUGAUACCAGUUACCUGAUAAACAAGUACUGUUACUGGAGGCACUAGGGUGGGAGCUGUUACACUGGGCUCGCCAGACUACUCGUUUAGAGAAAACUAAACUUGUGGAAUUGUUCAGAACUUGGUUUUUUAUUCCAAAAUUCUGCAAACUGACCACCUCCUUGAGCUCCAGAUGCCCACAGUGAUUGUUAGUCAACUUAGCCAAGAGCUCUAUGCUGGAGACCACCCGACAUUAAAAAAUAGUUCCAGGAGAACAUUAAAAAGUAGACUUCAUGGCAUGGUAAAGCCUGAUUUACAGGGGUACUGCUAUCUCUUGGUAUUAAUAAACACUUUUACUGGCUGGGUGGAGGAAUUCCCUACUAAGUCUGAGUCAGCCUUAGUGGUAGUUAAAAGGCUAUUGUAUGAGAUCAUACCUUGAUUUGGCCUCCCACUAUCAAUGGGGACUGAUAAUGGCCUGGCUUUCAUAGCCUGGGUCACCCAAAAGUUAGCCCAGGCAUUAAAAAUUAAUUAAAACUCCAGUAUGCCUAUCAGCCACAAAGCUCAGGACAAGUAAAAUGUAUUUACCAAAGUCUCAAGGACAUUUUAGCUAAGCUAUCUUCAAAAACUGGUGAUAAUUGGGUGAGCCUUCUUCCCUUUGCACUAAGAGCUAGAUGUACCCCAUAUGUUUCUGGAAUUUCCCCCAUUGAAGCCAUGUUGGGAGGCCCUUGCCAUUGGUUCCAAGAUUGCCAGAAAAUAAACUAGCUAAAAUAACUAAUCAAGAUCUCAUUAAGUCCUGACAGACUCUCCAACCCAUGUUGACUUCAAUCCACCAGCUGUUUAGACUAGACAAAAAAACCUGGAUCUGCCUUCAGAGACACCUCUCAAGGUGCCAAUCAAGCCAGGGACUCCAGUCUUGGGGCAAUGUCACCACCGUGACUCUCUCAAACCCCGCUGGGAAGGACCUUUCACCAUGGUGCUCAGUACCCCCACUGCCAUCAAGGUAGCAGAAAAAACUGCAUAGAUUCACUACACUCACGUAAAGCCACUGGAAACAGUGGACAACGAAGGACUUACUCAGUAGACUACAUAGCAGACUGGUAACCCCUUAAAGUUAAAAUUGACUAAGAUUAUGCUGGUCAUGAACUUUUUUAGCUUGCUUGCUUUGAUUUUAAUAACAUUAAUGCCGAUGGCAUCAAUAACAUUGAUGCAUGGCGGUUUUGGUCCCCCUGUAAGCAAAGAACAAUUGUUAAGAUCUUUAUGUGGGAGCUUCUGUUAUUGUGGAGGGGGCUAUAUUACUAAAGGUAAAGACACCAACUGGGGGGAAUUAUACAUACAAUAGGAAACAAGUAUCGAGAUCCUUCCCACACAAAUGAGAAACUGUAUACAUACAGUCUUUCGGACAGAUUGUGAGUGCAAGUUAACAUUCCUUGUAGCUAUACCCUCAGGUACAGGGGGUUUGACUAAAAGGUGGAUGUAAAUGAUAAAGCCCCUGUGUGAUACCUAACAAAGGCAGUCAGUGAGGGCCAUGCCAUCAGAAUUGUUCUUAGUAUUCAAAAAUGCAUUCCUACUGCUAUGACUCUGUACAAGAAUGUAUAGCAUAGAUAGCAAAACUUACUUCACUGCUGAGCUUAUGAGGACAAAGGCUAAAAGGGUUAAAGGUGAUUGGUUGACAUAUUUGACAGUGAUAGGAAGUUCUAUGUAUGCCCAAGCCUCAUGUCUUAACAUGGUUGAUAAUCAGUGAGCUGGAGCAUGGUGGCCCUAUACAUGUGUCUGAUAGGGGCAGGCCACAAGAUAAGAUCCAAAAAAAAAAAAAAAAAACAAACUCUGGUGGUUGAGGAACGAGUAAAGCUGCUAAUAAAAAUAAGCUGCAUAAAUCGUGGGGAGUUGGUCUGGACGCUCAAACUUAUGAUAUUCUAGAGGUCACUCAUAAAGCCUUAAAUGCUUCCAACCCAAAUUUGGCUGAAGAAUUGCUGGUUAUGCAUGGCACAGGGCUCCCCCAUACCCCUUGCCAUCCCCAACAGUGUUUCUCUGGCUACACUGGAGAAACAAGAUUACUUAAAUUUUAGUGCUGGUCCCCCCUUUAGAGUACAACCAGUAGACUUCAAGGACUCUCUCUGUCUCCAAGGAGGUCUUCAUAACGAUACCUCCAACUUUGAUGUGGAGUUCAUCACAUUUACUAAUUUUAGUUCCAUAGUUAAGCAGACUACCUCCUUUAUACUGCCAAAGGACAAGUAUUUAUUUGUGGAGGAAAUAUGGCCUAUAAUUUCCUCCCAACUAACUGGAUAGGGAUAUGUGUAACAGCUGUCCUGUUGCCUGAUAUAGAGAUCCUACCCGGGGAUGAGCCUGUCCCCAUUCCUAGUUUAGAUUACAUCACAGGCCACUCAAAGAGGGCAAUUCAAUUUAUUCCUUAUUGAUAGGCUUAGAGAUAUCAGGAGCCUUAGGUCUGGGGGCAACAGUAGUAGGGGUUUUUGUCCAACAUUCCAACCAGAUUGUUAGUGAUAUACAGAAAUUAUCUAGUACCAUUCAGGUCAUUCAAGAACAUAUAGACUUGUCAGCUAAAGUAGUUGUCCAAAAUAAGAGGGGACUAGACCUACUCCUCCUAAAGGAGGGCAGCCUAUGUGCCACUCUAAAAGAAGAGUGCUGUUUUUAUGUUGACCAUUCAGGCAUAAUAAAAGAUGCCAUGUCCAAACUCAGAGAAAAUAUCAAAACUAGAGAAAAAAAAUACUCUUUGGGGACAUCCUUCUCUUCCCUAUGGCAAGGGCUAGUUCCUUAUGCUGUCCCCCUCCUAGGCCCUUUAGCUGCUUUGCUCUUAUUCCUUACCAUUGGCCCUUGCGUUUUAAACAAGAUUACACAUCUGGUGCGAUCCCAGGUCUCCCAGGUAAAGAUGAUGGUCUUGGGAUACCAAUAUGAUCCAAUACCUACAAAUAAUCUCUAGGAUUAGAGAUCCUCACAAGAAAAGGGGGAAAUGAAGUGUUAAAACAUCCAGAAAACCCCUCUUGCCUUGUCACAUGGUCAGAACAACUAGAUAUUUUGGCCUGAUAGGGAAGUUGUGGUCCAACAUCCUCAAAAAUAAGAGCAUUGUGAAAUAUCGACCAUGCAAGACAGGAUAUGAGUUUUCAAAACACCAAUGCCAUCUGCUUCUGUAACCAAUGCUUGCUUUGUGGUUUUUGGCUUUAUAUACUCUGCACUCCCUUACCCGGGCACUCUCCCCUCUCCCCACUGGAGUGCGGUCAGAGAGUCCCUCGCAUGCGCAGACAAUAAAACCGCUUGAUUUUUCAU